RNAcentral lists this unclassified non-coding RNA (948 nucleotides) under Leishmania donovani. Its description in RNAcentral is "gene:unknown". The record is from RNAcentral. Lineage: Eukaryota; Euglenozoa; Kinetoplastea; Trypanosomatida; Trypanosomatidae.
UUGAGCGUGUUGCUAAUGUCAUUUCUUUUUUCGAAAACAAAAACACCUACAAUUGUAGUUCUGCCAAACCGUAAUGUGCGCAGCUCUCAGUCCGGCCCAUUGUCAGCUUAGGGUUAAGAUCUUGUCUGAAGCGGCGAAGCAUGUCCCCAAAACCGGAUUCACGAACGCUGCCCUCGCUGCCUCGCUCAAAUCCAUCGGUGCGGAAGAUAUUACCGACCGAACAUUGUCUCAGAUUUUCAACCGAGGCUUUCCGAUUGCCCUCGUCGAACACAUUGUGAAGUCUACAAACUUGCAUGUGCAACGGGAGUUAGAGUCUGCUUUCAACAAGGACGCCAUCAUCAAGAGCAUCGACUCAAAUGUGGAUGCCUUUGUUCAAAACAGACUGCUACUCCCCACUGAGAAGAACGUUGCAGAGAAAGCUCUUUUGUCGAAGCUCGAGUUGCUGACACCUUUAGCGGAACACUGGCCAAGCGCAGUGGCUCUUGAAUACCUUCCGGCCAACUUACCGUACGCCGUGAUCAAUCUGGCUGAGUUUGUCGAUACAACAGUCUACUAUAUGGAGCGCGCUGCCACACUUGGAGAGUUGCUUGAGCCGGCACGCCGAAUUCUCCGAUCAAAGGCGAUGGCGUCCCGCAUUCAAUCUGGAGAAUUAGAUAGCAACGGCGCGUUGCCUACUUCGGCGUUUUUGAAGAGCUUUCUUAAGGGUAUUUCGCUUUCAUCAGGUCCGUAUGCUGGCCCUUUGGCAUUGAAUAUGGGGUGGUACUGCAAAAGAGCGCAGGUGGCGCUUGUGUAUGGGGCGGUCACUACUUCUUUGUUAGGCGACGUUUCACAGAACGCGGCCGACACUCGGUCCUUGACAAAAGCUGUGGUUGAAACGUUCUUUUAACAUGCAAAAAUAAAAAAGACCGCAGGGCCCCUGUUGCUUUGCCUUUUUUUUGCGCAUGAAAC